Molecule: small RNA, 440 nt
Filed under: Histoplasma ohiense
Lineage: Eukaryota; Fungi; Ascomycota; Eurotiomycetes; Onygenales; Ajellomycetaceae
Description: hypothetical lncRNA
Source: RNAcentral
AUAUAUGACUCUUAUGAGCAACUACUCUUGUUCAGAACGCGCUUCUGUUCUGUUCCAGAAAUCAACUGGGCUGCUGGUAGCCCAUCAUAACUGAGCCUGCGAUGUGGUUGACCUGUUGGUGUCUUAUCGCUAGCAUCCAUGAUUACCUCUGGAGUCCAGAGCAGAUGUUCUGAGCACAACGUUAUCUGUUGAGGAACAUUCCAUAUUUAUUUUCUCCAGAGCCCCAGGCAUAGCGGAAAUGCGGGAAUACUGGUACUAUUGGCCAGGCUUUUAUAACAAUAUUUGCUCAAAAGGAGCUCGAUUGCCCUGGCUAUUUAUUGGCAAUGGUGGCUCAAAAUCAGCCGAACACAGAUCGUUUAGCGCUAUUUAACGCCUAAAAGAAUCAGCAAGAAAUCGUCAACUGAUGCAUUCGACCCAACGACUGAUAUAGAGAGAGGAGA